UACGUAGGGUCCGAGCGUUGUCCGGAAUACUGGGCGUAAAGCGUGCGCAGGCGGUUGAUGACGUAAGACGAUGUGAAAUCCCCGGGCUUAACCUGGGAACUGCAUUGUGACUGGCGAGCUCGAGUAUGGCAGAGGGGGGUAGAAUUCCACGUGUAGCAGUGAAAUGCGUAGAGAUGUGGAGGAAUACCGAUGGCGAAGGCAGCCCCCUGGGCCAAUACUGGACGCUCAUGCACGAAAGGCGUGGGAGCAAACAG
Molecule: ribosomal RNA, 254 nt
Filed under: uncultured bacterium
Lineage: Bacteria
Description: partial 16S ribosomal RNA
Rfam family: Bacterial small subunit ribosomal RNA
Source: RNAcentral